Molecule: long non-coding RNA, 36402 nt
Organism: Orcinus orca (killer whale)
Lineage: Eukaryota; Metazoa; Chordata; Mammalia; Artiodactyla; Delphinidae
Exons: 2
Source: RefSeq, a predicted model, not a curated record
CUCCUAAGGUCACACAGCUACAACUUGGCAGAAUUGAGAUGUGACCCUAGAUAAGCUGGUUUCAGAGCCUGUGUUCUUAGCUGCUACACUUUGAUCUUCCCUUCACACGUGGUUAUUGUUUGAUUUUUCUCCUUAUUGUCAAGCGCCUCAGAUGAGUAGCUGUUUUCAUUGAUUUUGCUUAUCCUGCACUUAUUUUCCUUUUGGUAUCUCUAAGUAGCUUUAGUUUUUCACCUCUACUUCUGGAACCUCUCCUCAUGAUCACCACUGAUUUUAUAGACAAUGCAGUGGGUUAUUUCAGUUAUUAUUUCUCCUUAAUCUGUUUCUGGCUUUUGGUACUGACACCCAUUUGUAUGGAUUUCCAACCUUGACCUCUGUGAUGCUGACUUGCCUCAUUUUCCUCUUACCUCACUGAGGCUCCUUGGUUUUCUUCUUUCCCUUCCCAUUCCUUAAACCAUUGCCAUCACUUGGCUUGAGUUUGGAUUUCAGUGUGUUACAAGAAGCUACUUAAUGUUAAUUUCAUAUUCAAACCAGAACCAAUAGAGGCAUUAAGUACACAAUUCUGUGGCCUUUUUCUUUUGUGUGUUGUGAAGUCACAGAGGAGUCUGAGUAACAUCCCAGUUUGUGCUCUGCCUUGUACAAGGAGGAAAAGAGAAUGAGGACCAAGGGAGGGACUCUGGGUACAUUCUGUGUUCCCGCAGUGUGCUAAGAGCUUUAAAUGCAUUGUUUCAUUUAAAUUCUCCUGUGUGAGAUUGGUUGUUGUUACCCUUGUUUUCCAAAUGAAGACACUGACUUCUUGUGAUGAACCACUAAUAGAACUGGGGUUGAAACCUUCAUCUAACUUGCUCUGACAGCCAGGUUCUCUCCUCUGGACCACCUGGGUCAAGCCCCCACUUUCUUAUCUGUUAAGUGAAAGAACUGGGCAAGAUAAUUUUUUUUUUUUUUGCGGUACGCGGGCCUCUCACUGCCGCGGCCUCUCCCGUUGCGGAGCGCAGGCCCCGGACGCGUAGGCUCAGCGGCCAUGGCUCACGGGCCCAGCCGCUCCACGGCAUGCGGGAUCCUCCCGGACCGGGGAACGAACCCGUGUCCCCUGCAUCGGCAGGCGGACUCUCAACCACUGCGCCACCAGGGAAGCCCGGCAAGAUAAUUUUUAAGGUCCAUUUCAGUACCAUCAUUCUGAUUCUAUUGCAAACUAGCUGUCCUUAGCAGUAGUUGCUUCUAAUAUUUGAAAAAGGAAGCUGCCAUCCCACUCUAGGAAAUGUCCUGUUUUAUUAAGACCAAGAGUAUUAACAUGUGAUUUGUAGAAGUUGUGAAGUAGGGCAAAGGCACUUAAAGUAGUCACGAUGAUAGAUCUUCAUAUAAGUUUCAAGAGAGCCCCAUUACCUCCAAAUGAGGCUGCUGCCCAGAACAUUAGAGGCUGUGGCUUUUGUUGACGGGCACAGGAUAAUAGGUUUGGAACAAUUUCAGUCUAAACAAAGGGCAACGCUGUUAUUCCAUUAUACUCCCUGUUGAGAGCAUUUGCUUCCAGAGUAUUAGGAAUCCCUUCUUUCCUUUAAGGGAAUUUAGUGUGAGAUUCGCAAGAAGAUAGUGAAAAUAUAUUUUAACGAUAAGAUUUAUCGUAAUGUGGUUUGACAUCUUUAGAAUGCCAAUGGACAACCCUAAAAUGAUUAACUAUCAUGUGAUUUGCCUACAUGUUGUCUUCAAACAUGUAAAUAGGUGGUUUAAAUGGAUACCAACAUCUUCUUUUGGUUUACAGUACCCAUAAAAUACCGAGCAAGUGUUCCUACAUAUGUGUAUAUCUGCAGAGUAAGUACAUUUCUAGGCUCUGUAGCAUCUAUAGCAUCUAUUUAUGUUACCUUCUUUACUCAAAAUCAUCCUGCAGCUUUUCCUCAUUCAUGCCUUAUUUUUGAAAAAUGGGAAAUUGAAAGGGAGAUGUCUCUUUUUUAACCUUUAGUUUUAUUGGCUUUCCCUGCACGGGAAACCUCAGCUCCCCCGUUUUCCUACUGCCUCUCUGGCCACGCCUUCAUUUGGUUUAGGUGAUUCUUCCUCUGUCCAAGCUCUAAAUGUUGAUGCCCCCAGGGUUUGAGGCUGGGCUCUUCUACCUCAUGCCUUUUUCCUAUAUAAUGUCAAGUACCCCAGAGCUUCCUAUGCUGUCAAGUGAUGAUAGCUUCCCAAUUUUUGUUUCUAGGUCUGAUUACUGCCCUGAUUGCUUACUUAUCUCAUGCCUGUUUAGGUCUGGAAAGUAUUUCAAGCUAUUCUUAGAUUACAACCCCCCCUUCAAAGUAAGACACUUUACAUCACAACCCAGUACACACAUACGUUACUUUGAAAGAAACUAAAGUUUCCAAGAUAGUAGUUACCCUUAAAACAUAACGUUUGCUCAUGUUUUCAAAGGUAUUGAUGGACUUAAUUGAAAAAUGCUGUCUGUAACCCACAACAUUGGUCUCUGCCUUGUUAGUUGAUUGUGAACCACUCUUUGAAAAACACUGUUCUUGAGCCGAAGUAGAUAUUUGAGAUAUUUCAUGUUGUGGGGAGCCUGCCCACGUGUUUGGAGACCAUAAAUAUUUAGAGUGCAGUAAAUAAUUAUAAAAUGAAAGAAGGCAUGGACAGAUUCCUUGCUUUUCCCUAUAUCAGGAAACCAAAAUUUCUUGGGCUGUUUCUGCUCUUAUCUAGGUCACUGAUAAUCCAACCACUAGCUGGAUGACCCUCCUAAGAAAUUGCAUUUUUGCCCUUUUUCUGUCUGAGCAAGAUCUGGAUAAAUCGAAUUACUAAUGACUUAAAAAAUUUUGAAAUGAAACCAGUCAGAAUUCCCAGGUCCAAAACACAUGUCUGGUCCAUUUAUUUUUUUAAUCUCCAAAUGCUGACUUAAGAGAUUUUGGUAUCCCCAAACAAAAUAUGUGUGUUCUAAGUGAAUCACUGAUUUUCAUAUAACUGAGGUAAGUCACUCUGGUUUCAGUUUGCCUCUUUUUUCCCCUGAGGUUCAAGAUGAAAAGCUCUGUGUUUUUUGUUUGUUUUUUUAAACUACCUGUCCAGUCAGUAGAUCUCUGACACCUGCUUGAGCAAAGUUGCUAAAAUGAGGAAAAGUAUUUUCUCUAUUUUCAACUGUGUCCUCCUCUCCCCACACCACAGGGGACACUGCAUACAGGGAAGGUGGUUGAUUGGAGUUCUGUGCGGCCGACCAGAUGGAAAAGGUUCAUUGCAGACAACACCACCAGUUGAAAAGCCUAUCCCACAUAAGGGAGUCACUAUGGAAUCAGAGCAAGCUUUUGGUUAUUCAGAAUUGUUUAUUAUUUAGAGUUGAUUCCUGUGUUGUUCUGAGACCUGAAGACCCAGUGGUUUUAGUAACAAAUGUGGCAGCCCUGGUGAGCUAAAUCUCUUAUUCCCUGUUAUAAACUUUAUCUUAUAUAACAACAAAAAGGAUCUUGGAUCAUAGGUAAGUGAAAGUCCGAGUUACUAUUGCAGAAUGAAACAAUCUCAUCAUUGGAUUAAACUCAAGUACAUUCUUUUAAGAUGUGCUAAUAAGUGAGCAUUCUGUGUUAACUACUAUUUUAUAUAAUAGCUAAAAAAAAAAAAAAACCUCAAAAGUUGUUGUAAUAAAUGUGUGCUUUCUGGUUGGCUAAAAUUGAGUCUUCCUGGCAUCAGGCUUAGGUGACUUGGAGGUUAGGCGGAACUUAUUUGGUUUGGGCACCCAAUUCUUUCAGAAACAUUUUAAUAUCUUACAAAGGUAUCUUUGGACUUGGACAGCCCUGUGUAUGUCUGCUUACUUGAUCGGUGAUUUGUGAUUUUCCUGACUUCGGGACAUUAGUUUUUCCCCUUGUAUAUAUACCUCCUCAGGCACAGAUCUGUAUGCUUGUGUAAGAACCAGCCACCUUGCUAAAUAAGGUACAAUUCCUGUCUUCUUUCAGAAACUGUUAGUCUAGUAGGGGAGACCUUAUUAAGAUUUAAAAUAUUAUUAAAUAUGAAUUUUAUCUAAUAAAGUUAUUUUUUAGAUUAAGCAAGAGUCAAGUGGUUUAAGUGGUUCUUCUUUUUCCAUCAAAGAUUUUGUUAAGCAUUUAGGUUGCUAAAUUUUACCAAAAGACUAGAAAACGGAAGCUGUAGCAUAAAUGAGGUAAUAAAACACUCCAGCUUAAAACUCAAAUGGCUAUCCAAUUGCAUUUAAAAUAAAAUAACUAAUGAAAUAACUUCUAAGGCCUAAAUAAGUUGACAGGGUUUUUUUUUUUUUGCAACUUCUAUACACUGGAACUUGGAUCGUAUAGAACAGAUUAUCUGAGGCGUCCUUAUUGUUAGACCAUUAUUUUUCACUUUUGGAAAAAAAUGUCAAAGAACACUCACAUUUUUGUUCUUAUAUUUUAAAUUUGCAAAUGCUUUGUGAACCACCCAUUUUUCAAAGCUUUAUUAAAAUAAUAGAAGUAAUUAAACCACAUUAUGAAAACAUUUGCAAGUUAGUGGGGAAAAAAAUCAGUCUAUACUAUCACGUUAACCAACCGUAGUCACAGUUUGAGUUUUUUUCCUUUUUGUAAUUUUUCUUUGCAUUAAAAAAAGAGUUUCUAAAAUCUGUACGGUUUUAUAUCCAGCCCUUUUUGGUUUGACAUUGUAUGAAAAGCAUUUUUCAUGUUCUAAACAUUUUAUAAUUAUUUAUAAUGACCAAUGGAUUUAUCAUAUUUUACAUGACGUUUCUCUUAUUUUGGACAUACGGGUAGUUUCUAGGUUUUCACUUUAUGAAUAAUUGUCAGAUGAGGAACUUUGCACGUGUGCAGUGAGCAGCCCCCUCUACUCUGUUAUAUUUUAAUUUUUUUUUACCUUAGUAUAGAACUUCCAGAAGAGGAAACUGGGGGCCAAAGGGCAUGUGGAUGUUUUUAUGGCUCAUUUUGCGUAAUGUCAAACCGCCUACCAGUUUCAAAUACCUCUUACCAGCUCUAGAUAUUACCAUAGUUUUAUAUUUUCGCCAGUUUUAACAAGUUGCCAAAAGUUUGCCAUAAACAGGUUACCUGUUUUAAUGUGAAAAAUUUGGGUUACUGAGGAAAUUAAAUAUUUCCCCACAUGUUUCCUUAUUUGUCACAUUUCCUAUUUUAUGAAUUAUAUUCCUGUCCUCCUCUUCACCUGUUGGGGAAGGUCAGAUAAAGGGGCACAGUGGUGGAGAGCAUGUGCUCUGGAGACAGGAGGGCCCAGUCCACACCUCGCAUCUGCCCCAGGAAUGGGGAAUGUGGGCAGGUGCUGGUACCUAUCUGAGAUUCUAACUGCCAUUUGGGGACAUUUGGAAGAUUUUUUUUUAUUUUUAGAAAUUCAAACUUUUUUUUUUCCACUGUGAUUUCUAAAUUUAGAAGACUUUCCUGACCUUUCCAGAAGUUUAAUACUUAGUUUUAUAUUUUUUUCUAGUUUAAAAAUUCUUUUAUCUCCUUCACUACCUAGAUUUUAUUUUACAUUUUAAACUCUUUUAAAAAUGAUGACUUUCCCAAGUGUCAGUUCUUACUAUGAAGACAUAACUCACACUGUUCAGGAAUGAAAUUUCUCAUGUCUGAAAUUUUAAAAUUGGCACUGUUAUUUGUAGUACAACUAAAUGUUCAGCAGUUUACUGGGAUGAUGAUGUUGCUAAAUAAUAUGUUUAUUGCUUUACUUAAAUUGCUUUUAUUUUAGAGGGAACCAGGUCAGAAUGUAUUAGGUAUAUUGGCUAGUGUUUGGCAUGGUGAUUUAUUAGAGUUUGGAUAUUAUAAACAGUUUUAUUUGUUCAGAAAUAGGUGAGAUAUUUAUCUUUGAUUUUUUUUUUUUUUUUUCCUAAAGAUGAGUUUUAUAUAGGAAUCUGCACCUGGGAAUCACAUGGCCUUGUAUACAGUUGUGUCCAGGGAGCAAUUAGGAGGGCAAUCUGUUAAAUCUUUGCCUCAAGGCAAAACCAUUAGGUGUGCUAUGUAUGAGCCUCAAGGGGUGUAAAUAACCAAAGCAUUCAUGUAAUAGUCAGUUUCCUUUCAUUUCAAGGCAUCUGUAAAACCUUUAAUCUGUGGAAGAAUCAGAGUAAAUUGACCUAUUGGAUCCACAGAUUAUUCUCCCUUACCUGAUUAUUUUGAGAAAGUAUAUUUCAGAAUUUACGAAUUACUGGUAAACAUUAGGCAUAUGAACUUAGAAUUGCAUUUUCCAUUUUGAUGUGAGCAUCCUAAAGUUCUGUUAUGAUUUAAAUGUAAGCAGAUCGCUCUUAAGAAAUCAUUUAUGUCUGCAUGAAGGCUGUUUUUGGGUUUUUUGUUUUUGUUGUUUUAAGGGAUUUAUUGUUAAGUUUUUUGUUGUGAUUUAUUAGAGAUUAUCUUUAGGGGCAAAUAAAUGCCAGUUACAGAUCGCUGAGUUUUCUCACUACCAUAAGAUCAUCCUCAGAAAUGAGCAGCGUUCCAGUUUUUUUCCUGUAUUAAUUUGGGGGCAUUAUUGAAAGGAAGGAAUUAUUUGUUUCCCUUAGUACUAGUGUUCAUAAAUACCAUUUAAACAUGGGGAAAUCUCUUCCACCUUAAAAAAAAAUCCUCCUUUGACACAGAACUUUCCUGUUCCAUUCUUUUCCUCAGUGACCUCCCCCCACCCCCAUAUUCAAAUUUCUUGAAAGAGUGAUCACACUCUAUUUCUUCACUUCCCACUUCACUCUUCAGCCUCCUGCACUCUGGUCUCUGUCCCAUCACUCCACUGAAGCUGUCCCUGUUAAGGGUACCAGUGUUACUAAAUGCAGUGGGCUCGCUCUCCUCGUUCUUCAUCUUAUUUGACAGCACAACAACACUCAACAAAGCUGACAACUCUUUGUAGUAACACAGUCUUGACUUUCAUAAAAUCCGAGCUCUCCUGGUUUUUUUCUUACCUCUCUGGUAAGUCCAGUCUUCUUUGCAGGGUCACUUUCCUCUACCUGCUUUUCUGGGCCCCUUUUCUACUCUUAUUUGCUCUCAAAACUCCGCAUACCAGCUUUAAAUCUUUACUUCUGAGCUCUAGACUCCUGUUGUCUACCUGUUCAGUAGAUGUCUUCACUGGCUUGUUACACUUGUACUUCAAACUUGUUAUUUCCUUCUAAAUCUGCCUUUCCCUAUAUGUUCACUAGUUCUGUAAGCGGCACCACCGUACAUGGAGUUGUUUAAGCCCGGAAAUCAUCAGUGUCUUACCAUUUCUACCUCUUGGAUAUCUUUUUUUUUUUUUUCGCGGUAUGCGGGCCUCUCACUGUUGUGGCCUCUCCCGUUGCGGAGCACAGGCUCUGGACGCGCAGGCUCAGUGGCCAUGGCUCACGGGCCUAGCCGCACCACGGCAUGCGGGAUCUUCCCGGACCAGGGCACGAACCCGUGUCCCCUGCAUCGGCAGGCGGACUCUCAACCACUGCACCACCAGGGAAGCCCCUCUUGGAUAUCUCUUAAAUGAAUCCUUUAUUCAUCACUGCUGCUACUACCCUAAGUCUAACCAUCAUUGGUCUGGUUCACUGCAAUAACUUUUUCUCUAUCUACCUUUGCCACACUACAGCUAACCCAGCCUCUGUACUGUACAUAAGUGAUUUUUAAAAAGCAGUUAUGAUCAUAUUCUUUCCCUAUUUAAAAUCCCUUUAAGGCCAAAGUCAAAUUCUUUCUGUCGUUGCUCAUGAUCUGGCCCUGCCUACAUCUUUAAUCUCAUAUCCCCCCCACCCUUGAACAGAGAGAACACGUUUCUCUUUUGAUACCUAAGAUUUGUAGCAUUAAAAUUACAGGAUGUAGUAGACAUGAAUGUUUUAGUUUUAAAAUAUUACUUAUAAAAAUUAUUGUUCUUCAUUGUUAUGUAUUCUUUAUUAAUAUGUAGGCAGCCCAAUUUAUGCAUACAUGUCAGAUGAGGUAGUGUAUAUUAAGGUGUUUGUAAAUUAUAAAUAUUAAUGUAAAAUACUUUUUCUACUUUUUGCUCCCAUUCAUCAUUCCUUUUGCUUCCAUCUACAUGAUGAUACAAUGUACUGUACAUGUGGAAACAAUUCUAUAGGAAUGUUGGGGGUAGAAUGAACAUGAUUUUCCAAUUUAGAGUGUCCUUUGAAUUGGAAAUUAGGAAACAGUCCAUAAAAUAAACUAUUAUGAUAGGAGUGAUGUGCUCAGAAGAAAAGGUUGCUUAGACCCUGGUCUGGAUCAUCUGUAGAGGUCUUUUUCAGUUCUUUACUCCUGUGUCUUUAACUUUAAUUUUAAGAAAACAUAUGGUGACCAUGGAAUUUUUUAUUUAUAUUUAAUUUAUGGAUAAACUCAGUGAAUAUGCUAUUUUAACAGUACUUAUGGCAUUCAUACAUUUUGCAUACAAACCUUCUGGCUGCAAGAGGAAGGUUAAUGCCAAACACCACUAUUAACUCUCAGGAAGACCAUCGUCUUGUGAUUGGAGACAUACUAAUAUGAAAUAUGAUUGUCCUAGCUGAGUCAUGAAUCACACCAUUCGUAUGCGGUGGAACAAAGUUGCCAGGUUUUAGGGUUGUUUCUUAAAGGUAAGUAAGCUCCCUAAGUUUGUCUGUAAAUUGGAAAUGAUCCCAAUAAAAACGCUAACAGGAUUUUUUUUAGGCUUGACAAACCAAUGCUAAAAUAAAUAUAGGAACAUGCAUACAAUAAUAUUAGAAACAUCCUGAAAAAGAAAAGUAAUGAGAGAUGAGAACAUCCUUACAAGAUAUUAAAAGAUAUUGUUAAGCCACAUUCAUUAAAACUGUGUGAUGAAGGCAAAAUGCAUAGAUUACAGAUCAAUGAAAUAAAAUAUGAAACCUGGAAAGGGACCCCCAAAACACACAGGACAUGAUAAAAUUGGCAUUUCAAAUCAGUGAUGAAAUUUAUUCAGUAAAUGGUAACUGGGGAGCCAUCUGGAAAAAAAUAAAGUUGGAUCUAUAAUUCAUACCUCCACCAGAAUGAAUUUUAAGUGGAUGAAAUUUUAACUUUAAAAAGCAAAGUCACAAAAGAAAUAGAACUAAAUAGGGAAGAAGAGUUUUACAAUUUAGAAUGGAGGUUUUUCUAACUUUGACCUAAAAUGGAAGCAAUAAAAGAAAAAUAUUUAUAAAUUAGACUUAAAAAAAUAAAAAUUUCUGCAUAUCAAAAACUAACACAAGCGAAGUCAAAAACAAGUUGAAAAACAUUUACAACUCAUCAAAGAUAAUGGGCAAAUUUCCUUCAUGUGUAAAAAAUUCUACAAAUCAAUAAGAAAAAGACCAACAAUUCAGUAGAAAAAUGGGCAAAGGAUAUAUAUGAAGAUUUCACAGAAAUGAGAUACCACUGGCUCUAAAUCUAAAGUUGCUGAGUUGCUUAUAUAAUACAAUAUAGUAUUGUACAUCACCUAUACCUCAGUAAAAAAAUUAAAAGAAAAUAAAGUUCCUCAGUUUGUAAGAGAAAUGCAAAUUAAAAUUGCACCAGAUGCCAUUAAAAAAAAAAUCCUGUCACAUGGAUAAAAAUAAAAUAAAAUAAAAAUGUAACACAUUAUUAGCCUGGGUGUGGGCAUAGGCACUCAUUCAUACAUUGCUGGUGGGAGUAUAAAUUGGGACAGUCUUUAUGGAGGAUAAUUUAACAGCAUAUGUUAAAAUUAUAAACACACAGAUCUCUUUGACCUAACAGUUCUACAUCCAGGAAUGUAUUCAGGAUCUUAUGCUAAGUUGAAAUGAAGUAGUUUAUUGAAGCAUUGUUUAUAGUAACAAAACUCUGGAAACAACCUAAAUGUUCAUCACAGAAUACUGGUUAAGUGAAUUAUGGUCCAUUCACAUAAUGGAAUAUGGUGCAGUUGUAAAAAAGAAUGAGGAAACUGUAUUGAUAGGGAAUGAUGUAGAUAUUUGUUAAAUGAAAAAAAAAAGAUGUAUGUGUUAUUAUGCCAUUUGAGAAUAAAUUUGUAUUUAUAAGUUGUUGUAUAUGCAUAUAACAUCUUUGGAAGGAUUCACAAAGAUGAAUUUAUGAAUUAUGGAAAGUCAUAAUCUUAAGCUGCCUUGAGAGAGGCUGGGGUAAGCAUACCCUUUCAAAUUUUUUGAUUUUUAAGUCAUAAUAAAAAUUAAACAAAGAUAGAAAGGUAAAUAAAGAACAGUUUGGAAGUUAACAUUAAGUCUGUAUCUCAGAUUAUCCAAUUCAGAAAUGUUUUUAUUCCUUACUACAAUUUCUUGGGCUAGACCUUGUCAAGGGAAUUCUUUUUCUAUCCUGGGAACGAUCUUUUGGAUUUGUGAAGUAUGUUUUAUUGCUUCUCUUUUCCUUCAAAUCUUUAUUGUCUAAAUGACUGCACAGAAGUAGACUGUCAUCUUGAAAUUGUAGGGAUUUACUUGUGGUCGAGCACUCCAUUGCCUUUUACAGUUUCAUUUUUCCAGAGGGUCCUUUGACUAGUUCUGAGUUGAUAACUGUAUGGAGACAAAGAAUUUGAUACCACAAAACACUGAAGCCCUUUUUUUUAUUCUAGUGCAUAUUGGAAAAAUGACUCUUUUAGGUCUUUGCCUUCUGAGGGAUGUGUUUCAUAAGGGAUAAAUUAUAUUUGGAUCUACCCUUUAUCGAAUAUCAAGUGAAAACUAGAACAAAGCAGGAUGAGCCUUCCUAUAUACAAUACGUUCCCAAGAAAAUAAAUACCCCCCUCUAAAAUUUUUUCUAUUCUGGUAAUAUUCUGAACAUGAAAAUAUGCUUAUGUGCCGCUUGACAUUAUUAGCAUGUCCAAGACCUAGGGUAGGUAGGAGAUCAGUUAUUUCUAUUCAAAAGGAACUAAAAGUGUGAGCACGCUUUGGAAAAGGAUCAUUAGCAAUGCAAAUGCAAAGCUACAUCUGAUAGAUAGUAAACAAAAUUAAGCCUGUUUGUGUGAUAUUUAAGAUGAGAAAUUGGCUUUGUUUAUUCUUUAUGACUUUGAAUAGCCUUGGAACUAUUUUGUUCUGUCACUGUUCUCACACUAGGUUUGGUAUAGCUUUAAAUUAUUCUCAGAAUUUGGACCGUCUGUGGGGCUCCAGAAAAUGUUCCUAUCGAUUAGCAGCUGUAGAAUGUGUUGUUUUUUUUUUUUCCCACCAUAUUUAAAUCUAGGUUUUGAAAAUACUAGUACUGUAGUAUCCAUUCACUUUUCUUAGGUCUUCAGAUCUUGACAAAACUGAGGGUAUUGAGUGUAUUGCAUCAGGGACAACAUCCUCUGUAUAGACCCUUGAGUCCUUUCUGUGUGUCAAGUCAGGAGGUGGAAGUGCAGGAAAUGUGAGCCAAGUAGGGUUGUCUGGAACAUGGUAGACAUUCAAGAAAUGGUGGUUUAUUGGAAAAUGUUGACUGGAACCUAGGGAGAUUAUACUCCUGUGCACUGACCAUUGAGUCUACUUUGGUGAUGACUUUUGCUCUCUUUGGUUUUUGUCUCAGUGAUUACCAGCCCCUGGUUUAGAAUUAUUAUUGCAAUCAUAAACUCCUUCAUGUGUUCAUAAAAACUUACUGUUCCUUAUAGUAUGUAAUAGAUAUAUUUGUAGAAUGAAUCAUUCUAGGACUUACUUUUAUAUUUAAAGAAUACCAUUGAAAAUUCUUUUUUUAAAGUGAAAAUCAUCUCCAAAUUUUUCUUUUGCAUAUGGUGAUAUUGAAUUUACUUUUAAAGUAAGGGUACGGGGCUUCCCUGGUGGCACAGUGGUUGGGAGUCCACCCGCCAAUGCAGGGGACACGGGUUCGAGCCCUGGUCUGGGAGGAUCCCACAUGCCGCGGGGCAACUGGGCCCGUGAGCCACAACUACUGAACCUGCGCGUCUGGAGCUUAUGCUCCGCAACAAGAGAGGCCGCGAUAGUGAGAGGCCCACGCACCGCGAUGAAGAGUGGCCACCGCUCGCCACAACUAGAGAAAGCCCUCGCACAGAAACGAAGACCCAACACAGCCAAAAAUAAAUAAAUAAAGAUAAAUAAAUUUAAAAAAAAAAGGGUACAUCUGUCCUGGACAAAGACUCAAAGUAACUAACAUGGUGAUUCAUGUCAUGCCUUCAUCUUAAAGUACGAAGGAAGUCACACACAUGCCUCAGUGGUGAGCAGUUAUCUGUAGUUUAUUUUAUUCUAGUGUGUGACAUGUGGCCUCUUGGCUGUGGAAAACUAAGUACAGUAUAUUACUCAUUGGAGUGAUAUAUUUUCCGCUCUUGUCCAGCUGGAACUCUAUAUAGUUAACUUUUUGAAUGCCAUGAGAAGGGCUUUUUUUCUCCUUUAGUAAUUGAGGUAUUCCUGCAGUGUGGAGUGAAUAGAUCCCUCCAUCACAGUGCAUUAUGUCAUUUACUGUGUGGGUAAAUGUAAUGCAAUCUAUUCAAAACAAAUGUAAAAUUUACUAGGGUGUUCCAUGUAUAAGUGGAAUGUAGAUACCUUUCUUGAUAUAACAGAUGGAUGAAGUUGGUUGCAGUUAACAUGUGUUAUACUAGUAAAGGUCCACCUGCUAAACUUUUUGUUCUUUGUUAAGGGAUAGAAAGUAGAGUAAUACAGAUAUGCGAGGAAAAUGAGAACUGGAAUGCAGGCCAAAAGAUAGUCUGUUGCAAAUGAAUGCUCCCAAGACUAAGUAGCAUCGUGUUCCUCUGACAGACCAGCGUGGCUGGUGGUGGUUGGUGUCCUGCAUGCUGUCUUACAUGCAUUCUCCUCGCGACUCAUAGCUGCCAGUCAUUUGGCGAUAAAAAUAGCCAGAAUACAUAUCUUUUAUAUUUUGGAGCAGAAAGAGAUAAUCCUUUUCAUCUCAACUUUUCUCUGAUAUUUUUGCAAAGGAAUUAUGUGAGUACCCUACUGCCCUUGCCUUUGGCACUCUCAUCAACAUUCAUAAUCUCAAGAGGUGUAUUUUUAUUUAUGAUUAGGUACUUGUCUUUAGUUACAUAGCAAUCAGUGUCAAAAUUAACUGGACUCUAAUGGAGUCAACAGUUCUCUCUUUAACAGUUUUUUCAGUUUCCCGAAAGUGCUACACCAUAAGCAGUAAAGUCAUGAUGCUUUCAAUAGAGAAAGAAAUUUGGUAUUUGGGGUCAGUGGGGAGAAUGAAGGGAGCCGAUUUGCAGUGAAUUGAGAUACAAGGUGUCCAGAAAGUCAGGAAAUGUGAGUUAGACUUAUUUUCAAGCAGCAUGUUUUACUUUCAAAUAACAUGCUCAGUAUAAUUUUCAUUAACCUCCAGACACCUUUCCAGGUGAUGUUUCUCUGAAUUCAAAGGAAUGGAUCCAGUUCUUAAUCCGAAAGAAAUAUAGUAAGUAUAGUGUUUCCAAAGUCUGGACACACAGGGAAAAUAGUGUGCUUAUUUUUUGAGCAUAUUACUGGAAAAUGUAACUUACAUACUAUUUAAAAAUAAGUUUAUCUUAUGUAUUUAUUGAUAUAUGUAUGUAUGUUUGUUUUACACACUAUAUUUUCUUUCUGUUUAGGAUUUCUUUUCAAGUUUCAGGCAUAGUACCACAAUAACAGUCCAGUAAACAGACUAGGCAGCUGACAAGCAGUCACCUCCCGUUAGGGUCAAGAUCUUCUGGGCAGCUUGGAGCUGCACCUUAAAUUUAGGAUGGUGGGAGAAUAAUGUGAGGCAGAUGAUAAGAGUGGAGGACAGUGUGGCUGGCUUUCUUUUUACCCUACCGGCUGGCUGUAGUCAUAAUUGAAAUCUCCAUCUUGUUUUGAGAGAAUGAAAGCUGGGAAAGGUUGAUAACUGUAGCACAUAACAAUAUUAUUUUAACAUUUCUUAUUUAUAUAUACAUAUAUAUUUUUUAAUAUUUGUUUAUUUGGUUGCGCCAGGUCUUAGUUGCAGCGUGCGGGCUCCCUAGUUGUGGCAUGUGAACUCUUGGUUGUGGCAUGCAUGUCGGAUCUAGUUUCCUGACCAAGGAUUGAACCCAGGCCCCCUGCAUUAGGAGCGCAGUCUUAACCACUGCACCACCAGGAAGUCCCUAACAUUUCUUAUUUUAAUCUGGUACCUAAUGAUGUAUAAGAACUUUUUCUCAUAUAUGCUAAUAAUGCCUUUGUGGUUGGUUUAAGUAAUAUAUCAUCUUAUUUAGAAAAACAAAAAAAUGAUGCUAAAAUCAGUAAUAUUUCUGAGGAAAACUACUAUUUCAAUGACACUUAAACUCUUUUUUUUUUUCCAGUUUAAGGAUCAGGUUUUCCACGUUAAAAUGUUGCUCUCCUUGCUAAAACAGAGACUAUCUGAUUUUUAUUGAUAAAAAGUCUUCCAAACUCUGAUGACAAGUUUUCAGAACCAGUAUGGUAGUGAAAAGUGUACGUAGCUCUGCAAGUCUGGGCAGGGAGGAAAGACUGUUCAAAUAGGGUGAAAGAAUACCACCACCCUCACGAGGCCUCAUGAAUAGUUGCCUUAAUAUUGUACAGUUGAAUCCGAAUUCAUGAGGUUACAGGAUUUAGAAAAUGUUAAGAUUGACAGGUGGCCAGUUUGGCAAUGGUGGGUAUGGAACUCAGGUGUUGGUGGAAUGACUGAAUUUAGAUGGAUGUUGGAAACUUUGUGUUCCAAAAGCUGCUUAAAUUUUUAGAUCCAUUGAGCCACACGCGAAUGGGUUUCUUUUCAUAUUUUUAACAUUUUAGCCUUGGGUAAAUCUUAUGAGGAACAUCUUGUAGUCUCGGGAUUUGACUAGGUGGUCUAUGUGACCCCCUGCAUCUCUAAGAUGAGUGCAGUCUCUCAUCCCAAAUGGUAGAACACUGUGGACGUAGGACGCACGUUUACUGGUUAGUGGUGUUUGGUAUGUUCUGUUCAAGAAGGCAGUUACAUAUUUUGAGAAAAAUUUUCAUCAAAUUUACCAUUUCAUCAAAUGAUUAAAAAUAGAAAAAUUUUAGUGUUCAAGGGAGUUUGCCCAAGGCAGUCUGUACUGCUGGGUUGUCAGGAAAAUGCUUAGUUCUCUUUUGAGUUUUAAACCAUCUUUAUAGAUGGCCACAGUGGAGGCCUAACUAUUUUAAGAGAAACGUGAUGAUGGGAAAAAUAAUAAAAGGCAUUAUGAUUUAAUAGCAAGAACACUUGUUUUGUAGUUAGGCAGAUCUGGGUUUGGAUUCUGAUUCUAUCCCUUACCAACUUUGUGACCUGGGAAAGUUAUUUAACUUGUCUGGUCCUCAGUUGCACUAACUGAGAUAAUAUAUGGCUAGUAUUUAGGCCAGCGCACAGGCACUUUAUCAGGGUUAAUGCUCUUUUCCUGCUUCAUUGUUUCAUGAUGAAUGCACGUAUUUUGUACAUAACAUACUGUCUCACAUAACCAGGCCCAGUAGUGUACUCUGUUCCACCAUUGACAAUCCACCUAGAUCUUGGUUCUUUAGGGAGACUGCUCUCAGCUGCUGUGCCCCAGGGGCAGAGGGCUGUGCAUAACUGUGCUAGUCAAGGUGAUCAUGCCCACUUCACCGGGGUUUUAUGGAGCAGCCAGCCUGGCUCUCUGUCUUUCAAAUAGCAAACACCACAGACUGUUGGUGCCUCGUUGGAUAUAAUUUAUUGACAGCUCCAGAUAUGGGGGUUUGCACUCAGGAGAGAGCCCUGCUCAUAGCCACAACACUUGGAGUGGUGGGCACAAGUAAGGCACAGGAGAUUACGGGAACAGUGGCACUGUGGCCCAGCAAUUGAACGUUGCUAAGGAUGAGAAAAAUCUCAAGCUAAAGAUGGGAAAUAUUUGAGGCCCAGUCUGCACUUGGCUUUCAUGUAUUACGUACUAAUUGAGAACACAUUCUUAUGCUUUGAAGUUCUGAAAGCUCUCCUGUCUACAUUCCAGAUUGAUGUCUGUCUGCCUUGAGUUUGCCGGUUAUUUAAAGUACUACAUCAGGGGGUUUCCCUGGUGGUGCAGUGGUUGAGAGUCCGCCUGCCGAUGCAGGGGGCACGGGUUCGUGCCCCGGUCCGGGAAGAUCCCCCAUGCCGUGGUGCGGCUAGGCCCGUGAGCCAUGGCCACUGAGCCUGCGCGUCCAGAGCCUGUGCUCCGCAACGGGAGAGGCCACAGCAGUGAGAGUACCGCAAAAAAAAAACAAAUAAAGUACUACAUCAGGGAAACACAGACCUCUGAGAGACCUUUGGUUUAUCCCCUGUACAUGAGUGGGCAUUUCUCUUCCUGCUUCUGAGUGGUUCUGCCUUUGUCUUUGUGCCUUGGUAGGUGCCGCCCACUGCCCCACCCCUGCCCCCACUUUAAACAAGGAUUAAUACUUCCCUUUAGUUGAACUGGGGCUAUUUUACAUGGAUUGGUGAUUGUAAAGCUUUUUCUGAGCAGGUGUGGUGCAAUGAAUAGUCUUUUUAAUUUCAUUUUUUUGGAUUUACAUUUUUUAUAACCUCUUCUGCAACAAAUGGUGCAACUCCAUGUCCACACUCUUUCAGUCAGUAGUUAUGGUUUUUCCAUACUUCCCAGCUGCUUAUCAUGGGCACAGCUGACAAACCAGAAGAGCCUUUCUAGUAAGGUGAGCUGAGCCGGCGUUCGAGUAAGACAAAGGACUUUAGUAUAGAAUUAGGGCUUUGACAAAGUGAACAAAUGCAAAGGCAGCUGGAAACUUGAGUGUUGCUAAUCAGGAAUAUAUUUCGUGAUUCUGAAGUUUCCAUAAUGUGUGUAUGUAAAGAAAAAUAAUCCAACAACUUGUGGGUUAAUAGAUUUUCCUGUUUCAGAAUCCAUUUGUGUGGAUUUAAAAAAUGUUUUUCAUACCUUUGAAUAUCUUACUUUCUCAAAGAACAUUACUAGCUCUCAUUUUCUUAUAUUUUUGUAUUACAACAAAAUUAUGAUUUACUUUUGAGGCUCUUUACUCAUUUGCUCUUGCCAAAUGCCCUCUAUUCAACCCAAUUACGGCAGAUCCCUUUAUCUCUAGUUGCUAAGACUCUAAGGAAGCAUUUGCUUUUAUUGUUUUAUUUAUGAUAUUGAUAAUGAGCACUCCGUAGAGUUCAAAGGGGCUUGUACUGAUUAUUAAGAAUGUAACUUCUCUGCUGGUAGUUGCUUGUAUCCGAAACAGCUUUCUACAGUAGAUAGGCCGUCUGCUUUUGGGAGAAAUCUACACUUACCUUCCAAAUUAGCAAAUAGGUAAUAUCAAAAAUAAGUACAGUAAGUCUGCUACUCCCCCAAAACAGCAUAUUUACAUAAGUUGCCUGAAAAUCAGGAUUGUGUCCCUUCCAUGUUCUCUUCCAUGCCUGAUGCUGGAGAAACUUAUGAUUAUUUUAAUUACCAUCGCUGCAGUAUUAAAAGUAAUGAAAUAUUUUAAAUGUAGGAAAGAGUGAAAAAGGGCAAAACAGCACUUGUGAGAUUUCAAAUGUAAAAGUUAUGUGGUAGGAAAGUCCUUUUUCUGUUAAUUGGGUGCUUGUAACAGUCUAUACUCUAAAACUGUUAAGGCAGAAGCACUUCACAUGUUGAAUACUCUACAGAUAUAUUUAAGAUUAGCUUGAAUUAAUGGCCUGUCAAAGCUACUCUUUGAAAAACAAAACAAAACAAAAGCGCCUCACAAACUGUCUCUUCCUUUUCCUUUUCUUGAAAGAUGGAAGAGGGAACAGUUCACAUUUUACAUCUUUACUUGAUGGGUGUAACUCCUUGAAAAACCACUCUGAGCUGAAAAGUUCCCCACACACCAAAAUGUUUUUUCAGAUGUAGGAAACAUUUUGGAUUUAUGCUGUCUUCUCAAAUUGGGAAAUAGUUGGAAUGCUUUAGAGGUGACAGUCUUGUUCUAGGAGAGGUUCAGUUGAGGUACACAUGGAAACCUUCUGGAUGAUGAUGAUGAUGAUGAUGAUAGUAAUAAUAGUAAGAGUCAUUAUUAUUACAGGAAGUGCUUCAUACUGUAAGAGCUUUACAUAUAUUAAUUUAUUUAAAUUAAGAGAUACAUAAGGAAACUGAGGUACAGACAUUAGGUAACUUGCCCACUGUCACACACCUGGUAAAUGAAAGAGUUGGAAUUUGAGCCCACAUAGUGGCUUAAAAAAUUUAUGCCCUCCACCACUUUGCUGUGUAGUGACUGAGAGGCUUUAAGUUUUCUUGUGUUGGAAUUGUGACUUUGGGUAUUUUGCUGCUAGGAAACCUUAAAAUGGAAACCAAUACUGUUUUACACAGAAGUGGGAAUAAUUGGAAUUGAAAUUGGGAAAUUCUGAGUUUGGUUCUGUAGUCAGCAAAAAGACUGCCUUUAUUUUUUGAAUCAUUCUAGAUCAGUGUUUAUUCUUUGUCACUUGAAUAUCUGUAAAUGCAUCUUGGCAUACUGGGAUACUUGUCCCCAAACUCCUGGGGAGGAGAAAUGAGAGAAGAGACAAAAGGCAUGAAAGUCACCAUCUGUCAGUGAAACUUUAGUCUGUUCUCCCACCCUUGAGGCUUUCUCUCUGGUUCCUGUUCUGGAGAGCUCCUCCCAUCUAGUUGGGCUCCUCCCUUGAGGAAGGCCCUCCUCACCUGAGAUUUGUCGUGGUACCACACUUAUCCACUGAAGUGGAAGUGUGCUUUUCUUAGAACUUUAACAGCUCUUCAACUUGAUGGAGAAGUUAGGGAAAUGAAAAAGUCUGCAGUGAUUCAAAGACUAAAUGUAUUUGAAAACCAUCUUGUGGAGGAAAGAAAACCCAGUUGAAGAGUCUCAGAAUACAGUUUUGGCAUUUAAAUCCAUUCUGUGUCAGUCUGCUCUGUGACUGUGUUGGUCUUCUGUGCAGCUUGUCAAUGUUGUCAUUACAGGUUAUAGGGAGUCACAGAUGUAUCUUGAUGCAGACAUGCUGGGCUGAGAAUAAUUUCUUAGCCACAUGCCAUAUAUGCAUUAGCCUUGAUGUGCAAAAGGUGCAUGUAGUUUUUGAUCUGGAAACCAAAAAAGCAAGUGUUUGGCCAAUCUGGGGAAUUUCUAUAAUGAAAUGUGCCAUUAAUGACAUUUCCUGAGGGCAUCUGCAGCAUGAGGCAGAACUGAAUUUUUCUUUCUUUUUUUCUUCCAUCUUUUGCUACAGAGCUCCCUUUCUUCCUCAUCUCUAUUUCCUAUCUCCUUUCCUUAACUCUGUUGGCCAGCCUGCCUGCCAGCCUGCCUAAGUAUAGUAUGUCCUGCCUUCCCCAAAGAAUUCCACUGCAGCUAGUCUGCUGUAAUGAAGAGAGUAUGACAGUUCAGAAUUCUUUACCAUAUUUAUUUUUUAAAGUUUUUUUUUCUUCUAGGGCUAUUUAUUUUGACUAAGAAGGUUAUUAUAAUUAACAAACAUUUCUUUAUCCUUACAAACCUUUUAUAAGGAGGAAGAUUAUUAGAAUUCAGAAAUAAUGUGACUAACAUUGUGCCCAAACCACAAUUUUUGUAGCUCAGAUAUUUUCAGAUACUUUAUUCUUCCAUCCUUAUUAAAACUGAGCUUAUGACAAAGUAAUAUCUUCUGUGUUUUUCAAAAAUUUUUUUGAGUGAAAGUGUAAAUUCUUAUGCCCUGUGUUUCUUUUCCUCCCUUUAUCUUUGCCUCGUGCUUUGGAGAGCCCACACAUGAUAAAACUUUUGUGAAUGAGCAUUGUCAGUUGGGGCAAUCUCAGAAAUUGUGUUUUCAAAAUUUCUUGGCUUCUUUUGACAUCCAGUAGGCUUUUCUAGGGCCACCUCUAUUUUGCAUAUAUUUUUCUUCAGUAUUGUUAUUCCCCUCCGUGGUUGACAUGCUAGUGUUUAUGCUUAUUUUUUUAACUUUAAUUUUUUUAUUGAUGUGUAGUUGAUUUAUGCCACUGUGGGGUUUUUUUUUUCUUUUUUUUCUUUUUUUUUUGCAGUACGUGGGCCUCUCACUGUUGUGGCCUCUCCCGUUGCGGAGCACAGGCUCCGGACAUGCAGGCUCAGCGGCCAUGGCUCACGGGCCCAGCUGCUCCGCGGCAUGUGGGAUCAUCCCGGACCGGGGCACGAACCUGUGUCCCCUGCAUCGGCAGGUGGACUCUCAACCACUGCUCCACCAGGGAAGCCCUGACACUGUGUUUUAACAUUGAAAAUUUGUUGAAGUUCUUCUUCCAGAUAGAACUAAGAAACUAUUUGAAAUUGAUAGGGUGACUGGAGCUAUAUGUAAGGUAUCCUUGUAUAUAAGUAUUCUAGCUUUCAAAAUUGUGUUUUCUAAUAAGUGGUACUGAUGAAUUUGUAGUGAUGAGUCUAUAGCUAUUUGCUGAUUUCUCUGUUGUAGGAGAUAGAUGGAAAGCAUGGUGAUUGCAUCCAGGCUAGCUACAUACAUGCACCUACUUGCCUUUCCCUCCCUUUUCUUUUAUCCUGUAAAGCAGUAUUUGAGAUGUAUGUGCACAUGCUGGAGUAUACUUUUCAAAAAUAAUUUUUUCUCAUAUGUACAAGAUCUGUGUUUCUGUAGAGAAUUCAGACAAUAUAGAAAAUUGUGAAGGAGCAAGAAUCACAAUUAACAGUUUGAUAAUACAGGAAUGGUCACUGUCAACAGUUUGGUAAUCGGCAUGCAUGUAUACCCACGUGCAUAUAUGCAAGCAUACGCACAUGUGCACCCUUGUGUAAUGUGAGUGAAGUUAUAUCACACGUGCUAUUUACCAACCUUUAUUUUUUUACUUAAUACUUUGUUGUGGUAUCUUUCCAUGUUAAUGAAUAUGAUCUUUUAAAAUGGCUGAAUUGUGUUCCAUUUUAAGUAUAGGUCAUACUCUCUUUCUCAUUACCGUUUUAAUAGGUAUUUAGUUUUCAGUUUUCCACUAUUGUGAACAGUGCUACACUGAGCAUAUUGGUGUGUUCAUCUUGCACACUUACAUUUUGGGGGUAGAUUUCUGUAAGUGGAGUUGCUAUUAUUCAUUUAAAAUAUAAUUAUACUUUGUCUAUGGCAGAAUAUUAAGAAAUGUAUAAUUUUAUAGGCAGCAUUCCUAAAAAGCUGACAAAUUUUGCCUUUAAGAACCUGAACUGUGCGCUUUUCGGUUGAAUGUACUGAGCAUCCAGACACACAGGGCCAAAUGCUCCAGAUUGCUGGACUUUGGGGUUCCUGGGCCUGGUUUUUGAAAUAGCUUUUUUGUCUUCUUCGUUAUGAAACUCUUUUCUCAAAUGUGCUGCUUUUAAUCUGUAGGGAGCUUGAAAACAAGAUAACCAACCUUAUCAUAUGAUGUAUAAAGUAAAAGCAAGCAGAGUCAUUACCUAUGGAGUAUUCCAGUUACAGGGGUAGGAUAGAGAAGUUGUUGAUUGGUUGACGUUAGGAUAGGUAAGGAAUUUUUUUUUAGUUUGGUGCUAUUAUUUUAUGUCCAUGUUCUGCUGGAUUAAAUUAUUUUUGUGAUAAAGCAGCAAUUUACUGCUGAAUGUAGGAGGCAAGACUAUAUAAAGUGAGAUAAAAGGCAAGCGUUUAUGAUUAGAAAAUUCCCUGCCUUCAGUUGGUGGAAGUGCUGGUGGAACAACUGCCCCUCACUCAUCUCGGCCUGGCACAGCCCACUCGUAGCAUUGUUCCUUGGGGCAGUGUGUCCUUGCCUCUGGGCAUGCUCCCUGGGCUGCCAGCCCACUCAGUGUCUUCUCCAGGGCUGGUGGUGAGGGAGUCAACCAGGACCUGACUGCUUGGGCCCUUGCAGCCCCUGCAUGGGAAGAGAUAGCUGAGCCUUGGGUUGCUGAGCAGUACUGAUCCUCCCUCCAUUCUGACUAUUUGAUUUGUGCCUGCACUGGUUGAGUACUGGGAAUGCAAAUCUGAGUCAGACUUCUUCCCUGUCUUCUUGGAGCUCACUGGGUGGAAGGUAAGAUGACUUCAAGGCAUGUAACUUGAUUGACAGCACACGAAGUACACUCUGAGUAGUGUGUAUGAGGGGGAGUUAUCCAUUCUUCCUGGGGAUACGUGAAGGCUUCCAGAAGAGAAGGGGAAACUUGGAACCAGUGGUGGGAAAUCAGAGGAAUUGGCCAGGCAAAUACCGUCAGGAGGGUGGGGAAAGGUGGUUGGUCAGAGGAGGGGGUAUGGAAAUACAUUCUAGGCAGUCGAUACAGCUCAUGCAUAAGUGUGGAGGUAUAAAACAGCUCAUGUGUAAGUGUGGAGGUAUAAAGCAGUUAUCUCCCUUUUGUGAUUCAGAGUCUGCACUGCUUCCAUGACUGGCACCAAGUGUUGGAGAAAGGUGGUGGUGGUUGUGAUAGGAGAGGAGAUGGUAGAGGCAGGCCAGACUAUGGAGGACCUUGUGUACCAUAAUGAGGAGUUGGACUUGAUCUUCUAGUGUUAGUAAUGUGCCAUCACGAGGCUUUGAUUAGCCUUGAUUCGUGGGCACAGUCAUGAGGAGCCAAUGAAAGCCUAUUGUGCUCAUUUCUUGGAGUCAUAAAAUCCCAUUUAUGAGCUGGGUAUGUGCUAAACAUUAGUACUAGAGGGAGUACGUUUAUAAUGUGACUCAUCCCUUCAGCAAGGCCAUCAUGGCCUAUAAGGUGACCAGAAAGACUCCUUUAAUAAAGGGGACACCAUUUCAGAGAGGUGGUAUAACUGCUCAGUGCUGAGAAAACUUCUGUGCAGGCAGUCCUACCUGGUAGAGGGAUAUAGGUAUAGAGGUGGCACCAAGCAUGUCCUUGCACAGUCCUACCUGACAGCCCAAUGCAGGAUAGAUGGCAGGCUAUGCAGUACAAGAAAGACCAUUUGCUGUAGUACGUUGAUUUCCGCCCUCCCCCUUCAUCCCCGCACACAGAUAUGGAUCUGUCAGGGUGUCAUGUUUGAAUACUAAGUUAAGCAAUAUCAGAGUUAAGAUAAAAAUCAGUGGUUUAGGGCUUCCCUGGUGGCGCAGUGGUUGGGAGUCCGUCUGCUGAUGCAACAGACGUGGGUUUGUGCCCUGGUCUGGGAAGAAUGCCACAUGCCGCGGAGCGGCUGGGCCCGUGAGCCAUGGCCACUGAGCCUGCACGUCUGGAGCCUGUGCUCCACAACGGGAAGAGGCCACAACAAUGAGAGGCCCACGUACUGCAAAAAAAAGAAGAAAAAAUCAGUGGUUUAAUUGAUUAAAUGAGCAUAGGGCUAGACACAUGGUUAUAACUCAGUAAAAAUUGAUUUUUUAAAACAGCUUACUUUAAAACAAAAUGGAUUUCAAAAAUUGGAAAACACUUGGUUAAAACAUUCUGUUUUUUUAAAAAAAUGUAUCCAGAGAGAUUAAGAUUUAGAACUUCUAAUUUAUAAGUUAAGACAUUUUAUUCACUUGACCUUUUAAGCAAAGUUUUAUAGGUAAGACACAAUAGGCCAUGGACUACGUUAGUAAUCUGAUAUUAAAGUGUUCUCAGAGAAUUUAUUUCUCUAUAAAUUAUUCAGUGGCGUAAAGAAAAUGGCUUUACUCAAUGGAGGGCUGUCAACUUGAAUAUCUUGUUAAGCUUUAUAUGUUUUUUUGAGGGGUAGUUGUUGGUUUAGGCAUUCUAAAUCAGAGUAUUGCUUAGAAACAAAAAAAUCGGGAAAGUUUGUGUUUCUUUGCAAGUCUGCCAUAUACACUGAGCUCAGAAGGUACAGUCUGGUAUUGGGAGGCAGACAUGAUCUUGGGCAGCGUGGACCAGAAGGCCAAGUCUUCCACUUGUGCCUCCACCACUUCGAGCUGUGUGCCCUGGAUGUCUUAUUUAUCUGUCACUUUAUCUUCUUUUGCAAAAUUGUCACAUGACAACGCUCCUGACCAUAUAGGUUUAUUGUGAGAACUGAAUGUUUUCAUUCAAACGUGAAUGAAACGUUUUAUUUAGCUUGCAAAAUGCUGUGCAAAUGUAAGAAGGGAGUGUUAGGUGUCAGAUUUUUUAGUUUGUUUUAGUGGAAUAGCAUACUCUAACUUCAGUCACAUUAGUUUAAAUAGUUCAAAGAAGUUUAAAGAGAAGGUUUAAGUGGUUUCGUUUAAAUAGUUUAAAGAAAAGGAAAAAUAUCUACUUUCACAAAUAAACUAGUUAGACAUUUUAAAAUUUAAAUUUUCGGUUAAAAUUUUUACUUGCUGAAUAAAAAUCAGAAAACAGAGUUUUUGUGGGGGAGAGAGGGGAGGGCUUAAAUGAAUUAUCUAAUGUUUUCCAAAUAUUCCUUAUUAAAUAUUUGAACUAUAAAUUGUUAACCUCUUAGGAACAUUAUAAAUAUCAUAGCCAUACAUUUGCUCUUUAGAGUUUUAAAAAAUUGCUGUUUACAGGUUAGGAAACUGCUUCUCAGAGAGGUUAAUGACUUACUCAUGAUUGCCCCAAUAGUAAGUAGUAAGAAGAGACCUGGAAUUAAAAUCUAGGCUUUUUGAUUUGUUGUCUUACUGUCAAUAUCUGAAUUUGCAGUACAAAAUAACCAGGUUAUUCAGUUUUGGGCAUUGAUUUAGACUUAAUCUAAAAAUCGUUAAAGUAGUUUAGAAUGUAUUCUUACUCCCCAACGAAAUAUUAUCUUAAUUGUAUGUAAUAUAUAUCUUAAAAUAUCCUACAAAAAUGUGUUUGUAUAGCGCAAUAAUCAAAAUUUUCUUUAACUUAAAAAAAAUUUAGAUCCAUUGGAGUUACCACUAACAAAUUUGAUCUUGAAUCAAAUUCACCUUGAGUGUAAUAUGGGGGAAUCAGUGAAAUGCUCUGAGGGGUGGCAGUUGUGACUAAAUCCACAUUUCAGGAGAAAAAGGCAGUUUGUUUUGUUGGUCUGCACAUGCUGUGAAUCCUCAGCCCUGCAGCAGGGGUCCUCCAGGGACUAUGGCACACGCAGCCCAUCAGUGACAGCCAAACUGUUGUGAGGUGACAUCUGAAGGAGACAGAGUCCUUGCUGCCUGUUUAGCUCACUGACUUUAAGUGUAGAGAAUGGGCUUUGUGGUCCAAAUCCACUUAAUCCACAUUGAGAGGGAAAAGAGAAGGGAUUUGAUCCCAGUGCCUAGUACAGAAAGCAGUAAAAAUUUAGUCAUUAUUAAUGUUAACUAUUAGAGGCCUUCCAGUUUACCUUCAAAACAGAGGAAGUUGAUUUUCAUGUCUACACUUAGUCCGUCUUGCUGCUGUUUAAGCCUCUGGUUACAGGAGAGCAUCUCAACAGUAUUUCACAGAAUGGCCCAGUGCCGUCUGGUACCUGUGAAACUCUUGAGUGGACUUGGAUGCCACUUCCUUUGCAUGGUUCUGGUUGUUGUUUGGAGCCCACAGCAUCACUCUCCUUGAGCAAGUAGGCAGGCAGCAUUGUAUUGGUUAAGAUUGUGGGGUCCUGAAGUUCAGAGUUAGAAGCCUGCUUGUAAUGGUAUCUCUUAACCUUGGGCAAUUAACUUAGUCUCUUGGAGUCUUGUUUUCUUCAUUUGUAAUAUGAGGAUGAUAAUAUUUACCUUAUCAACAUGCUGUAAUGUACUAAGCACAGCAUUUGGCACCUGGUCAGCCCAGGUAGUGGUUCGUUAAGAUUGUGAUUUUUAUGAUUAAAUCAAAUAUUGUGUGAUUUUAAUCUUGAGAAUAAUUUUCUCUGAGUUAGGGAGCAAACUGAAUUUGUUGACUGGUGUCAUUAGGGUGCUUGUUUGUGAGAAGAGGAAGGAUGACCUUAGAUUGGAUGGCCGAAUGGAAGUUUGGGAGGCUGAGGAGAGUGAAUUGUUUGGCUUUCUAAAAAGACAGUCAAUGUCUGUUAUUUGAAAAUGCGUUUUGAUUGAAAACAUUGAGUUUGCCUGAUUGUGGAUUAAAUCCUUAUAUGUGACUGGACUGAGAAAAUUACUGAUAUUGGCACUCCAGUUUCUCUUACACAUUGAAACCUACUCUUUCUCUGCAAGUGCAGACUCCAUCUCUGUCUUUCAACUGAGGGAAAAACAAGAUCCUCUUUUGUUUUUUCUAGAAUCUAUCUUCACUUAUUGAAUUGGGUGGAAAGUUUGAGCAGUGAGUCAUUCCUCUUUGGGGGAUCACCUGAAUCUUCUUGCUGCAACGCCCUCAGAGCUGAAUUCUUAGUGGGAAAACACGUACAGCAUCCAUGUACUUAAAGGAUUGGUGCUUUCUGGACUAUUUGAGUAACUGAACAUUACAGAAAGAACUGAAAAACAAGCAAAAUCACUUAUCCCAAAGUGACUGGUUCUUCAAAUCCCUACUUCCCAAGUCUGAAUGAACUCUUAAGAAGAGAAUGUUUUCUCUGUGAGUGAGGGUCAAAGUGGCCUGAUACUUAAAGUGAGAAGAUGGAACAGAAUGAAGAGCAUGGAUCAGGGAGUCCAGAAAGCUGGCUUCUCGCCUUGCUAUUUUAUGAUUGUGAUACCCUGAGCAAGGUGGUUCCCUUGUCCGGCUUCAGUUUUUUCACCUGUAUGGUCAGGGGCUGUAGAUGAUCUCUAGGGUUAUGGGUUGGAAGUAGCUUUGUGCACCCUUCCUUAAGCGCAUAGGCAGACAUUCUUGAAGCAUCCUUGGCCGCUUGUCAUUCCAUCUCUAUUUGGCUAUUUCAUUCAUUGGCUUGGCUUCUCUUCUAGAGAUUCAGAAUCCUUGAUUUUCAAGGCAGUUUUGAAGAACUUAAUGUUAGGUAGCUUUUCACGUUGGGUGGAUUCCUAGCCCUCCAGUAGUCGUAAUUCUAUCUUUUCCAUCUCUCACAUGACAUAUCUUCAGAUAUUGAACAAGCGUUAUGUUGAUUCUUCUCUGAGUUAUGCUGCCAAAGCUCUUUGUACCAUGCCUCUUUAAUGUAGUUUCAGACUCUUUGUAAUCAUGCUAGCUUUCCUGAAAUGUUCCCGUUUUUCAUUGCCACUUUUAAAAUGUGGUCCUCAGAAGAGCUUAUAGUACUUCAAAUAGGGUGUGACCAGCACGGGGCGUGCUAAGAAGGUUUAAAAAUUGUGAUUUCAUUAGUAUAGCCCAAGUUGAUAUGUUUUUUGGGUUUAUUUUAUAGACAGCCAUGACCUGUUUGAAACAUGUAUGUAACUGAUCCUUGGUGUGUUGUUUUUCACGUGAAUUGCUCAUAGUAAGGCCUUAUGUUAUAGACGAGCAGCUUUUGUUUUUACAUCCAGUGUAGUACUUUAUCUUUCUUUUUGUGAGUCAUUUUGUAUCUGUGUCUUGUUCUGGACUGCUAAAUCCUUCUGAACUUUCCAUCUUCCCUGGUUAUUAGGGAUCCCCACAAGUCGUCUCCUCGUUCUAACUGAUCCUGCCUCUGAGUACAUCCCAAGUUUGUCUGCUGAUGAAAAUGUUGACCAGGUAAAUUCAAAUAUAGUCUCUUAUGGCUUCCUGUUAGGGUCUUUCUGCCCUUUACAUUUGACUUGUGGGGAACCCUGACAGUGGUUUCAGGCUCCAAUAGACAGUGUAUUUCAUGGUUGGAUGUAAUUUGUGUUGGUUUGAAGCCUUGAAUUCAAACAACUUUCUCAUUAGUUUAUCAUCUAUCUUGAAAAUUCUGUAAGUUUUAAUUUUUGUAUACAUUUGGACUCCCAAUGCUAGCUUUUUUUCAGUUGUGCUCUAGUUAGCUUUUACUUUAGUGAUCUCUAAUAAUUGCUCCCUAGCCCCCAUCCUUUCUCUUCAUUCAGUCUCCCCAUGGUUUCCUGACCUCUGGAGUGCCCAGUACUGAGUGCUGAACAAGAGGGGGCUGGUGGAACAACAGAAGAGAAAAUCUCUUAUGUUAGCGUUUCCAGUAUUCUUCCAGAGGUACCAGUAUGAGUACACACCAGUUUUUCAAAAGACUGUAACUUUAGACCGUUUAAAUAUAAUCUGUGGGGAGAUAAGGUUUAAAAAGCAGUGACAAGGAGAAUAUACUGAAAUCUUAUUCCAGAUUUUCUGAGUGAUGCUGUAUGUUGCAAAGAACUUUUUAUAGCAAAUAAAGGAUGUAUACUGAGAUAGGUUAAAAAUGUGAAUGAAAUCUACCUGGCAAAAUAACUGGUAAAAACAUUAGUUAUAAGUAUGUAAUGGGAUAUUACUACAUCAAAAAUACCACAGAAGUUCUCUCUAGUGAUCUGUGUGAAGAGAAGUAUUGGAGUUUGACAUGGAGAUAGUUAUAUAGAUUGGCCACAUCUGCAUAUUUUUUUAAUUCUGUGACUUAUACUUUGUAAUGGAAUUUCCUUUGUUGCAUCAAUUUAUAUGACCUUUUCUUAGUUUAUUAGAAAAGAAACUUUAGCGUAAAUGUUUCCAAAAUAAUAUCACUGCCCAAAUGUCCUAUUAAGCCAGUCAUUUUAUGAAUCAGCAAGACCAGUCUCAUCUCGCCUUGCUACCAUUUUUUGGUCUUUCUUCCUUUCUUCCUCCUGCAAGUGAGCGCGUAUCUAUAUGCUUAAGUAGGUACCCACACUGAUACCCACUCUCCUUUUUCUCAGCCCAGCUCCAGGGGUGAAAGGAAAGAUUGCAAAAACAUCUCAGAAGUCUUAUGAAGAUGGGACAAAGUUUAAGGAAUAUCCUAUCAUUCUGUCACUCUUAAAAUAUUCUUUUAUGGAACAUGUACAUCCCAAGUUAUGGUAGCAAUUAGUAGCUCUUUCUGUGUUUGAGCUGCUUUUUAGUGUAAAGUAUUAGCAGUAAUAGAGCACACACUCUGUAGAGUUAAAUGAUCUUAUCUGUGAAGUUAGAAAAGAUGACUAUAUCAAUUGUAAGUACAGUUGAGAAUGAUUUUGAAGAUGUAUCUAUAAAUGCUUGACAUUUUAAUAUAAUUAUUAGUUUAAGUAGAACUUUUAAAACUACAAUGAAUUAUAUCACUAUUAUCUAUAUCACUAUAUCACUAUUAUCAUUGGAAUUUUGCUUUAGUUAUAUUUGGCUCCCAAUUAUAAAAGCUUUAUCAUUUGGAGCAUAAGCUUAAACUUUUGCAGCAUGGAUUUUAGGAGCAGUAUAGAGAUGAAUCUCCAGUGAUUCUAUUUUUUAUUACAGGAAAUGUUAUGUCCAGAAGCUGUCCAAAUGAAGGUGUUUUUAAUGAUUAACUUUCUACACAGAACAAGAUACUGUAUGAUUUCUAGAUUACAGUGCUCUAGGGGGUGCAUAUAGAAAUUGGAACUCUGAUAGGAUUCAGUUUUAUUAAAUACAUAAGGUUUUGCACCUUAAAGGUUAAGUAUCCAAUUGCACCCAACUAGGAAAUUCAAAGUUAUGAUUUUCACAGUAACUGUUAUGUUGUCCCUAUGGGCAGAUUUAGAAUUUGCAUUGUUGGGUGUAAUGUAUAGUUGAUUCUUACAUUUAAUGAAUGACAGAAAUUAACUUCAUUUUUCUAUGUACUUUAAUUUGGCAGUAUUCAUUGAUCAGUAAUAACUUGAACAUAUACUAUGUGAUACGCCCUGAGAUAUAGAAAUGAAGAAAUCAAACAAAAAACCCUGCUCUAUGUUGUACUCUUAGAUAAUAGGGGGGAUGCAGGAAUUUAACUCUGUGAUCCCAUGAUAAAAUUAAGGGAAUAAUUGUGCAUUGCACCAGGAAUGCUUACACAUGCUGCUUACAAAUGAUGUCACUUGCCAAGUUUACACAUCUGAUUUAGAGGAAACAAAGAUUUCAGACUUAAUUGAGGACACAUGUCUUUGGUAUCUUUCUUGCAGUAACUCUUUCUAGUCCUUGAAGACUAUCAUGAAACCAUCAAUAGGACUUAACUUUAAAAAACCUCUGGCUGAGGUAGCAAUUUAAGAUUGAGUGAUUAUUGACUGGGGCAUGGUUUUCAUAUUACCAAAAAUCUAACGGUUUUAAGGUUCAGACCUCUUUUGGGGCUGUUAAAGCUAUGAUAUUGUUCGUAAAAAUAAAAAUCUGAAAUUAAAAAUGGCGUGGGGUUUCCAAACUGUGUGCCAUGUGGUCAGUUCAGUUUUUCUUGACAUAGAGCAGGGAGCCAUUGUAAACAGGACCGUUCUAAUCCAUAUGCAGCUGGCAGCUUCAGUCUUUCACAGACUAACAAGUAAGACCACUAUGAGCUCUAUAGCUUCUUUAGUUUUCGCAUGGGUGCUUCAUCACAUGGAGGCCAGGGGAGGAGGAGCCAGGGAGAAGGAACACUUUGUCUUCAGACUUAGAAAGUACACUUGGAAAAGAAAAGAGAAUCUUUUGAAUAAAAUCAGAAGGGAAAACAUGCAUACAAACAAGAUUCUGGAAUCCUACAAAAUAAUAACAUACUCAAACUCUUUGCAUGGGAGUUUUUUGGCCAAUUUUUUUUGGCCAGUGUAAGAUUUUUGUCAUAAAAGGAAGCAGUUUUUAAUGCUUAGUUCUUAGUUUCCAAUCAUGUGAGCUUCGUGACAUUUAAACAGUAUUUUUGACAAUGAGAACAAUUAAAUUAUGUGGAAAUUUAGCCCCUAAAAUAUAUUUUCCAGUAUCUCUCCCUGGAUACUAUUAGCUGUAGUCUUGUCUACUAAGAGAUGAAUUAGGUGACCUCAUAAAGUCUCUUUAGUACCCAUCCUGGGAGAUGUUUAAAAAAUAUAUUUUAUAUAUACCACAGGACCCCUACCUCCUCAUUUCCUCUGUCAGUUGAAUUCUUAAAAUGAUUACAUUUUUUCUUGUUCCCUGUGACUAAAUUUUAUUUAUUUUCCAGUCUUUAGGCAAAGAAUGGCAUAAAUUAGGGCAGGUAGAAAACCUCAAAGAGCUUCCUCCAUUCUCCUGAAGCUCAUAUUGUGUCCAUCUCCUGUAUGACUACCACCCACGAGGGGAAACUCCCAUCCCUGUUCUGCUCUCUUUUGUUCAUAUUUAUUGUUGGGCAGCAGACCUUAAGGUAGACAAGGGCGGGUGGGUUUUAAAGAGGAAACUCCUAUUUAAACUCCUGUUUUUAAGAGGAAGUUCACAUUCCUGAAACUCUUGCUGUUAUUUUCUCCCGGUAGCUGUCUCUUCUUUUUUUUCAGGGGAGACAUGGGAGAGAGAUAUUAAAUCCAAGAAAGCGGGGGGAUUUUCACCACCUCUUUUAUCCUCCUUCAUGGCCCUGCUCAUCUUUUCCUUUUCCAGACUGCUUCUUUACAAAUCAGACCUGGGGAGUUAUUUUCCCCACAAAAUAGAUUCUGCUAUCAGUUACUGUGCUUCAGGAAGUCUGGGGCUUGAGUCCUGAGAAUCUCUAUGUUUCUUGAGUUAUGCAGGUGCCUUUGAUGCCCAAUUAGAUUUGAGAACUGUUGGAUACCUGUGCACCGCAGAUACUUAAGGAGUUCUGAGUCCUAGGUCACAGGAGUCAAUACCAGUGGGGCUUAGAGCAUGGCAGAUAGGUCCACAGGUAUCGGGGGUUCGUGACCUGACAACCAAAGCUUCACAGAGUGAGAGUGCAGUUGAACUUAACUGAAGUCAGCCUGUUGUGGGGGCUGGUGUUUACAGUGCCCUGUUUAAAGUUUAUUAGAGAGGGGAGCUAUCAAGAUGGCAGAGGAAUAGGACGUGGAGCUCACCUCCUCCCACAAAUACAUCAGAAAUACAUCUACACAUGGAAAAAUUUGCACAGAACAUAUACUGAACGCUGGCAGAAGAGCUCAGACUUCCAAAAGGGCAAGGAAACCUCCACGUAACUGCGUAGGACAAAAGAAAAAAGAAAAAAAAAGGGAGGGAAAGGAAUCAGGAUGGGACCUGCACCCCAGGGAGGGAGCUCUGAAGGAGGAAAGGUUCCCACACCUGGGACGUCUGCUCGUGGGCAGGGAGAUCAGCUUGGACAGAGGGGGAGCUUUGGAACCUUGGAGGAGAGCACAGCAACCGGUUUGUGGUAGGCAAAACAGAGAGUAACCUGCACAGACGGUCAGUACCGCCACCCUGUGCUCCCUACCCUGGUUGCUUGUCUGCCGGUAUGAGCAGGGGCUGAGUGCUGAAGUUCAGGCUUCAGAAGUCAGACCCAGGGAGAUGACCAGGGUUGGCCGUGGGAGACAGCCAGACAAGGCUGGAGUGUGGCAACAGAGGGUAUCCUUGGAAGAAGCCUGGGCCCACCAGAGACGCAAGGCGGCACCAUUGUUGGGGGAUGUGUGAGGAGAGGGGAGGCACUGCCAUAGGAGCUUCUUUGCCUGUGUGUGCUCUCAAGCAACAGGACACCACCUGCACAAGCUUCUGGGAUGGGCGCGAGCCACCGCCGCCGUUCUGGGCUCCGGAGGUGGGCACGGACUGCUGCCACCACUAAGAGACCCACAGGCAGGCGCCAGUUGCUUCCCCUGCUGUCCCAGGAGUGCAUGGGCUGCUGCUGCCACUACAAGACCUGUGAGCAGGCAUCAGUCAUGGCUCCUACCAUCCGAGGAGAGUGCAGGGACAGCACAUGGGCUAUGAGCAGGUGCCAGUCGCUGCCCCUGCCAUCCCGGGAGUACGCACAGGCCGCUGCUGCACCUUCCCACCCCCGUAUCAAGGGGAUGAUGGCCAGCACAUGCUGAGGAGAGAGGCAGCAAGCAACCAAACUAAAACCAGCCCCUUGAUUCCAGACAAGAUGGUUGAGUGGAAAGACUUGAGCUCACCUCCUCGCAGAAAAACACCGUAAUCACAACUAACUGCUGAACAGCCAUUGACAGAAAAGACUGGAACCUACCAAAAAAGAUAUUUUACAUCCAAAGACAAAGAAGAAGCCACAGUAAGAUGAUAGGAGGGGUGCUUUCAUGAUGUAAACAAAUCCCAUACCCACUGAGUGGGCGACCCAUAAACUGGAAAAUAAUUAGAUCGCAGAGGUUCUCCCAGAGGAGUGAGAGUUCCGAGCCCAGCGUUAGGCUCCCCAGUCUGAGGGUCUGGAAUUGGGAGGAGGAGCCCCCAGAGCAUUUGGCUUUGAAGACCAGUGGGGCUUGAGUGCAGGUGCUCCACAGGGCCGGGGGAAACAGAGACUCCACUCUUGGAGGGCACACACAAGGUUUCAUGUGCACUGGGAACCCAUCACAAAGCAGUGACUCCCUAGGAGCCUGGGCUGGACCUACUGGUGAAUCUUUGAGGGUCUCCUGGGGAGACGGGUUGGCUGUGGCUCACUGUGGGGGCAAGGACACUGGUGGCGGAGGCCCCAGGGAAUAUUGAUCUGCGUGAGUGCCCUUGGAGGUCGCCAUUUUGGCAUGGAGACCUGGCCCAACCCAGCAGCCUGCAGGCUCCACUGCUGGGGCAACUCAGGGCAAACAACGAGGAGGGUGCUGCCCCAUCAACAGACAGGCUGCCUAAAGUCAUAUGGAGCUCACAGACACCCCUAAACACACCACUUGGUGUGGCCCCACCCACCAGGACAAGACCCAACUCCACCCACCAGUGGGCCGACACCAGUCCCUCCCACCAGGAAGCCUGCAUAAGCCCCUGGACCAACCUCACCAGAACCAAGAGGAACUACACCCUUGCAGUCUGCAGAAAGGAGACCACAAACAUGGAAAGUUAGACAAAGUGAAAGGGCAGAGAAAUAUGGUCCAGAUGAAGGAACAAGAGAAAAACCCAGAACAACAACUAAGUGAAGUGGAAAUAGGCAGCCUACUUGCUGAAGAAUUCAGAGUAAUGAUAGUAAAGAUGAUCCAAGGUCUCAGAAAAAGAAAUAGAGGCACAGACUGAGAAGAUAAAACAAAUGUUUAACAAAGAGCUAGAAGGCUUAAAGAACAAACAGAGAUGAACAAUACAAUAACUGGAGUGAAAAAUACACUAGAAGGAAUACAUCGGAGAAUAAGUGAGGCAGAAGGAUGAAUAAGUGAGCUGGAAGACAGAGUGGUGGAAAUCACUGCUGCAGAACAGAAUAAAGAGUAUGAAAACAAAUGAGGACAGUCUCAGAGACAUCUGGGACAACAUUAAGUGCACCAACAUUUGCAUUAUAGGGGUCCCAGAAGGAGAAGAGAGAGAGAGAGAGAGAAAGGGCCUGAGAAAAUAUUUGAAGAGAUUAUAGCCAAAAACUUCCAUAACAUGGGAAAGGAGACACUCAAGUCCAGGAUGCUCAGAGAGUCCCAUACAGGAUAAACCCAAGGAGGAACAUGCGAGACACAUAGUAAUCAAACUGAGAAAUAUUAAAAACAAAGAGAAAAUAUUAAAAGCAAGAAAUAACACACAAGGGAAUCCCCAUAAGGCCAUCAGCUGAUUUUUCAGUAGAAACCCUGCAGGCCAGAAGGGAGUGGAAUGAUAAGUGAUGAAAGGGAAAAAUGUACAACCAAGAAUACUCUACUCAGCAAGGUUCUCAUUCAGAUUCCACAGAGAAAUCAAAAGCUUUACAGACAAGCAAAAGCUAAGAGAAUUCAGCACCACCAAACAAGCUUUACAACAAAUGCUAAGGGAAUUUCUCUAGGUGGAAAAGCAAAGGAGACAACUAGAAACAAAAUUAUGAAUGGGAAAGAUCACUGGUAAAGGCAAACAUACAGUACAGUCAGGAAAUCAUCCACACAAAAAUAUAUCAAAACCAGCAGUCGUGAGAAGGAGAGUACAAACACAGGAUAUUGGAAAUGCAGUUGAAUUGAAGAGACCAACCACUUAAAACAAUCUUGUAUGUUAUAGAGUGCUAUAUCAAAACCUCAUGGGAGGGACUUCCCUGGUGGUGCAGUGGUUAAGAAUCUGCCUGCCAAUGCAGGGGACACAGGUUUGAUCCCUGGUCUGGGAUGAUCCCACAUGCCAUGGAGCAACAAAGCCCGUGUGCUACAACUCCUGAGCCUGUGCUCUAGAGCCCAUGAGCCACAACUACUGCACGCCACAACUACUGAAGCCCGUGCGCCCUAGAGCCUGCGUGCCACAACUGUUGAGCCCACGCCCCGCAACUACUGAAGCCCACGUGCUCUAGGGCCCACGUGCCACAGCUACUGCGCCCACGUGCUGCAACUACUGAAGCCCGUGUGCCUAGAGCCUGUGCUCUGCAACAAGCCACUGCAGUGAGAAGCCUGCGCACCACAAUGAAGAAUAGCCCCUGCUCACCACAGCUAGAGAAAGCCUGCACACAGCAGUGAAGACCCAAUGCAGCCAAAAAAACCCACCAAACCUUAUGGGAACUGCAAACCAAAAAUCUAUAAUAGAUGCACACACAAAAAAGAAAAAGCAAUCCAAACAGAACACUAAAGAUAGUCAUCAAAACACAAGAGAACAAAAGAGGAAGGGAAGAAAAAAAGACCUACGAAAACAAAUCCAAAACAAUUAACAGAAUGGAGUAAGAACAUACGUGUCGGUAAUUACCUUAAAUGUAAGUGGAUUAAAUGCUCCAACAAAAAGACACACUGGCUGAAUGGAUACAAAAAGAAGACCCGUAUAUAGGCUGUGUACAAGAGACCCACUUCAGAUCUAGGGACACAUACAGACUAAAAAUGAGGGGAUGGAAAAAGGUAUUCCAUGCAAAUGGAAAUCAAAAGUAAGCGGGAGUGGCAUUACUCAUAUCAGACAAAAUAGACUUUACAAUAAACACUGUUACAAGAGACAAAGAAGGACACUACAUAAUGAUCAAGGGAUCAAUCCAAGAAGAAGAUACAACAAUUGUAAAAAAUUUGCACCGAACAGAGCACCUCAAUAUAAGGCAAAUGCUAACAGCCAUAAAAGGAGAACUUGACAGUAACACAAUAAUAAUGGGAAACUUUAACACCCCACUUACAUCAGUGGACGGAUCAUCCAGACAGAAAAUCAAUAAGGAAACACAGGCCUUAAGUGACCCAUUAGACCAGAUGGACUUAAUUGAUAUUUAUGGAGCAUUCCAUCCAAAAGCAGCAGAGCACACAUUCUUCCCAAGUGCACACAGAACAUUCUGCAGGAUAGAUCACAUGCUGGGCCACAACGCAUGCCUUCGUAAAUUUAACAAAAUUGAAAUCAUAUCAAGAAUCUUUUCUGACCAUAACGCUUUGAGGUUAGAAUCAAUUACAAGAAAAAAACUGGGAAAAAAACACACAAACACAUGGAGGCUAAAUAAUACGUUAGUAACCAAUGGAUCACUGAAGAAAUCAAAGAGGACAUCAAAAACAUACCUAGAGACAAAUGACAACAAAAACAUGACAAUGCAAAACCUAUGGGACGCAGCAAAAGCAGUUCUAAGAGGGAAGUUUAUAACGAUACAAGAUUACCUCAGGAAACAACUCAAACAACCUAACCUUACACCUGAAGCAACUAGAGAAAGAAGAACAAACAAAAUCCAAAGCUAGUAGAAGGAAAGAAAUCAUAAAGAUCAGAGCAAAAAUAAAUGAAAUAAAAACAAAGAAAACAAUAGCAAAGAUCAAUGAAACUAAAAGCUGGUUCUUUGAAAAGGUAAACAAAAUUGAUAAACCUCCAGCCAGGCUCAUCAGGAAAAAAAGGGAGAGGGCUCAAAUCAAUAAAAUUUAAAAAGAAAAAGGAGAAGUUACAACUGACACCAUAGAAAUACAAAGGAUCCUAAGAGACUACUACAGGCAACUACAUGCAAUAAAAUGGACAACCUAGAAGAAAUGGAGAAAGUUUUAGAAGGGUUCAACCUUCCAAGACUGAACCAGGAAGAAAUAGAAAAUAUGAACAGACCAAUCACAAGUACUGAAAUUGAAUAUGUGAUUUAAAAACUUCCAGUAAACAAAAGCCCAGGACCAGAUGGCUUCACAGGCGAAUUCUACCAAAUAUUUAGAGAAUAGUUAAUGCCUAUCCUUUUGAAACUCUUCCAAAAAAUUGCAGAGGAAGGAACACUCCCAAACUCAUUCUCUGAGGCCACCAUUACUCUGAUACUAAAACCAGACAAAGACACCACAAAAAAAAAAAAGAGAGAAAAUUAGGGCUUCCCUGGUGGUGUGGUGGUUAAGAAUCUGCCUGCCAAUGCAGGGGACACGGGUUUUAGCCCUGGUCUGGGAAGAUCCCACAUGCUGCGGAGCAGCUAAGCCCGUACGCCACAACUACUGAGCCUGCGCUCUAGAGCUUAGGAGCCACAACUACUGAAGCCCCUGCACCUAGAGCCUGAGCUCUGCAACAAGAGAAGCCACCACAAUGAGAAGGCUGUGCACCACAACGAAGAGUAACCCCUGCUCUCUGCAACUAGAGAAAAAAGCCCGUGUGCAGCAACAAAGACCCAGUGUUGCCAAAAAAAAAAAAAAAAAAAAAAGAUGAGAAAAAGAAAA